This 253-nucleotide ribosomal RNA is filed under the name uncultured bacterium. RNAcentral describes it as "partial 16S ribosomal RNA". It matches the Rfam family "Bacterial small subunit ribosomal RNA", at positions 524 to 776 of the family's 1533-position model. The record is from RNAcentral.
GACGAGCCACACGAACGUUAUUCGGAAUUACUGGGCUUAAAGGGUGCGUAGGCUGCGCGGCAAGUUGGGUGUGAAAUCCCUCGGCUUAACCGAGGAACUGCGCCCAAAACUACUGUGCUUGAGUGAGAUAGAGGUGAGCGGAACUUAGGGUGGAGCGGUGAAAUGCGUUGAUAUCCUAAGGAACACCGGUGGCGAAAGCGGCUCACUGGGUCUCUUCUGACGCUGAGGUACGAAAGCUAGGGGAGCGAACGGG